CAUGCCAAGAUCUGAUUGAGAUCAGAUCUAAGAUAAGAAAAGAGAGAGAAAAAGAGAAGAAGAAGGAUUCUUCUUCUCUUCAUGAUGAUCUGAUUCAGAUCCCGUCGGAUCUGCAUGAAAGAGUUCACGCAGCGAUCUCUUUCUUCAAAAUCUAGAAGAAGAGAUCUAGAUCCAAGGAUGAAGAGCGAGAUCUGCAAGGUGCUAGUACAUCGAUGAUCUCAGUGCUCCGAUCAGAUGGCUCCAUGUGGAUACCAGCA
This 257-nucleotide long non-coding RNA is filed under the name Elaeis guineensis (African oil palm). RNAcentral's name for it is "long non-coding RNA (EGUI_LNC043036)". Lineage: Eukaryota; Viridiplantae; Streptophyta; Magnoliopsida; Arecales; Arecaceae. The record is from RNAcentral.